Molecule: microRNA precursor, 198 nt
Organism: Oryza rufipogon (brownbeard rice)
Lineage: Eukaryota; Viridiplantae; Streptophyta; Magnoliopsida; Poales; Poaceae
Rfam family: MIR812 microRNA precursor family
Source: Rfam
UUUAAGUGCAACCUUAAGUUUCUGUGCCCAACUAUGAUCGCCCGUCUUAUUUGAAAUUUUUUUAUAAUUAGUAUUUUUAUUAUUAUGAGAUGAUAAAACAUGAACAGUACUUUAUACGUAACUCAUGUUUUUAAUUUUUUUCAAAAAAUUUUCAAAUACGGCUAAAGUUUUGCACGGAAAUUCCCGGAUGCACUUAUA